GUGGCAUCUUUCUGAACUACCUCGACCGUCCGAGCUUCUAUAAUACCAUCCGGACUUCUCCGAUAAUGAGCUCCUCCAUUCAUGUACCGGGCUGCUCCAAAUGCUCUUUGGGCUUCAUUAUCAGCCGACUUUCUACAGUGAUUGGCUACCCUCUAAAUCUCUUCCAGACUUUCUCCUGCCACGAGCAACUUUACUCCGAACUUCUUUCGGACUUCAUCAAUGUUCGAGCUUCUCCAACGGCAGGACUUCUAC
RNAcentral lists this long non-coding RNA (252 nucleotides) under Elaeis guineensis (African oil palm). RNAcentral describes it as "long non-coding RNA (EGUI_LNC051682)". The record is from RNAcentral. Lineage: Eukaryota; Viridiplantae; Streptophyta; Magnoliopsida; Arecales; Arecaceae.